Heteronotia binoei (common prickly gecko) is the source of this 84-nucleotide small nucleolar RNA. RefSeq annotates it as small nucleolar RNA SNORD103/SNORD85. The record is from RefSeq and is a predicted model, not a curated record. The transcript has a single exon. Lineage: Eukaryota; Metazoa; Chordata; Lepidosauria; Squamata; Gekkonidae.
UCUAGCAGUGAUGACACUCUUGCCCUCACUGAGAACGUAGUUCAGUAAUGAGACUUGAUUUGUGCUCAAGUGUGCUGAGCUGGA